Molecule: transfer RNA, 88 nt
Filed under: Blumeria graminis f. sp. tritici
Lineage: Eukaryota; Fungi; Ascomycota; Leotiomycetes; Helotiales; Erysiphaceae
Also listed under: 1 other name
Rfam family: tRNA
About the family: Transfer RNA (tRNA) molecules are approximately 80 nucleotides in length.
Source: Rfam by way of RNAcentral
GGUGGUGUGGUGUAAUGGUAGCACGUGACGUUGUGGUCGGAAGCGCAAUAGAACCGUUUCAAUCUGGGUUCGAUUCCCAGCACCGCCA